Molecule: long non-coding RNA, 356 nt
Organism: Mauremys reevesii (Reeves's turtle)
Lineage: Eukaryota; Metazoa; Chordata; Testudines; Geoemydidae
Exons: 3
Source: RefSeq, a predicted model, not a curated record
GUUCUCUCUAAGAAGCAAGAAAGGAGCCACCAAUACUGAGAGCAGUGCCCCUGUCCCUGAGCAAAGAACUGUCAUGAUGACAAACACUGUCAUUACCAGGAACACAGACUGGAAUUUUCAAGCACAUUAGACCCAUCUUCUAAUAGGAUUCACCGAUAAAAGUAGAAACAACCAAAUGACCAGAACACAAAAUAUUGAAUGUAUAACAAAAGAAGUCAGCACCAUGCACUAGAAGAAGAGGAAAAAGAAGAUGGCAUUCCUACAAGUCAACCCCCUUCAGAAUGAGGACCCCAAAAAUGGAUUAGAGUUUCUCAAAGAUAAUUUCAACAAUAUUGUACCAUAACUUCUGAUGCAGC